AGUCGAACGAUGAAGCCAGCUUGCUGGUGGAUUAGUGGCGAACGGGUGAGUAACACGUGAGUAACCUGCCCUUAACUCUGGGAUAAGCCUGGGAAACUGGGUCUAAUACCGGAUAUGACUCCUCAUCGCAUGGUGGGGGGUGGAAAGCUUUUGUGGUUUUGGAUGGACUCGCGGCCUAUCAGCUUGUUGGUGAGGUAAUGGCUCACCAAGGCGACGACGGGUAGCCGGCCUGAGAGGGUGACCGGCCACACUGGGACUGAGACACGGCCCAGACUCCUACGGGAGGCAGCAGAGGGGAAUAUUGCACAAUGGGCGGAAGCCUGAUGCAGCGACGCCGCGUGAGGGAUGACGGCCUUCGGGUUGUAAACCUCUUUCAGUAGGGAAGAAGCGAAAGUGACGGUACCUGCAGAAGAAGCGCCGGCUAACUAUGUGCCAGCAGCCGCGGUAAUACGUAGGGCGCAAGCGUUAUCCGGAAUUAUUGGGCGUAAAGAGCUCGUAGGCGGUUUGUCGCGUCUGCCGUGAAAGUCCGGGGCUCAACUCCGGAUCUGCGGUGGGUACGGGCAGACUAGAGUGAUGUAGGGGAGACUGGAAUUCCUGGUGUAGCGGUGAAAUGCGCAGAUAUCAGGAGGAACACCGAUGGCGAAGGCAGGUCUCUGGGCAUUAACUGACGCUGAGGAGCGAAAGCAUGGGGAGCGAACAGGAUUAGAUACCCUGGUAGAAGGGC
This 724-nucleotide ribosomal RNA is filed under the name uncultured Arthrobacter sp. RNAcentral's name for it is "bacterial SSU rRNA". It matches the Rfam family "Bacterial small subunit ribosomal RNA", at positions 60 to 795 of the family's 1533-position model. The record is from RNAcentral. Lineage: Bacteria; Bacillati; Actinomycetota; Actinomycetes; Micrococcales; Micrococcaceae.